RNAcentral lists this transfer RNA (69 nucleotides) under Ictidomys tridecemlineatus (thirteen-lined ground squirrel). RNAcentral's name for it is "Spermophilus tridecemlineatus (thirteen-lined ground squirrel) tRNA". It matches the Rfam family "tRNA". From Rfam's summary of the family: Transfer RNA (tRNA) molecules are approximately 80 nucleotides in length. Their secondary structure includes four short double-helical elements and three loops (D, anti-codon, and T loops). The record is from Rfam by way of RNAcentral. Lineage: Eukaryota; Metazoa; Chordata; Mammalia; Rodentia; Sciuridae.
GGGAUUGUGGCUCAGUGGUAGAGUGCUUGCCUAGCAUGUACGGGGCCCUGGGUUCGAUCCUCAGCACCA